AAUCCGAUUAUCCCCGCUAAACCCAACCAUUUCUUGCCAAUCAGCUUGYAUACUUCCGUCGUAAGUUUACCAUGUGAAAGACCGAUAGUGGGCACAAUGUUCCGUUUCACCAGUACGUCAGGUCAAGGUGCAGCCUAUGAAAUGGGAGAGGUGGGCUACAAUUUCUAAAAACUAGAACACACGAAAACCCUGCAUGAAAACCCAGAAAUGAAGGUGGAUUUAGUAGUAAAAAGAAAAUAGAGUGUUCUUUUUAAUGAGGCGCUGGGGCGAGUAC
Molecule: ribosomal RNA, 274 nt
Filed under: Ptychadena oxyrhynchus (sharp-nosed frog)
Lineage: Eukaryota; Metazoa; Chordata; Amphibia; Anura; Ptychadenidae
Description: partial 12S ribosomal RNA
Source: RNAcentral